RNAcentral lists this non-coding RNA (22 nucleotides) under Mus musculus (house mouse). Lineage: Eukaryota; Metazoa; Chordata; Mammalia; Rodentia; Muridae. The record is from RNAcentral.
UGUGACCCGCACCACCCUGCCU